CCUACGGGUGGCAGCAGUGGGGAAUAUUGCACAAUGGGGGAAACUCUGAUGUAGCAACGCCGCGUGAGUGAAGCAGUAUUUCGGUAUGUAAAGCUCUAUUAUCAGGGAAGAAGCAAGACGGUACCUGACUAAGAAGCCCCGGCUAAUUACUUGCCAGCAGCCGCGGUAAUUCUUCGGGGGCAAGCGUUAUCCGGGUGUUAUGGGUGUAAAGGGGGCGUAGACGGCUGUGCAAGUCUGAAGUGAAAGCCCGUGGAUCAAACGAGGAACCGCUUUGGAAACUGUAUAGCUUGAGUGCUGGAGAGGCAAGCGGAAUUCCUAGUGUAGCGGUGAAAUGCGUAGAUAUUAGGAGGAACACCAGUGGCGAAAGCGGCCUGCUGGACAGAAACUGACGUUGAGGCUCGAAAGCGUGGGGAGCAAACAGGAUUAGAUACCCCGGUAGUC
Molecule: ribosomal RNA, 441 nt
Filed under: uncultured bacterium
Lineage: Bacteria
Description: partial 16S ribosomal RNA
Rfam family: Bacterial small subunit ribosomal RNA
Source: RNAcentral